Molecule: long non-coding RNA, 1344 nt
Organism: Oncorhynchus tshawytscha (Chinook salmon)
Lineage: Eukaryota; Metazoa; Chordata; Actinopteri; Salmoniformes; Salmonidae
Source: Ensembl
GCGGUGUGUGUGUGUGUGUGUGUGUGUGCUGUGUGUGUGUGUGUGUGUGUGUGCGGUGUGUGUGUGUGCGGUGUGUGUGUGUGUGUGUGUGCGCGGUGUGUGUAAGUUUUGUGAUGCAAACUGUUGCUAAAAGCAGCGGAGGAAACAUGACAUUUCCUGUUUUGCUGAGAUGUGCAUCAACUGCCCAGUUUUGUAUCUGACUCAGAAAGGACAGGUUGGCGGUUUUCACCUCAAGUCAUAUUUGUGAGGCACAGCUGAAACUCUGGUCACAGGGACCGCAAAUAUGUUGUUCUCUAGUAUUACACCAAUAUGUAUUUGAAUGAUUUAAUUUUAGUAUUUGGAUAACUACAUCCUUCAAAUGUACUAUGUGAAUUAUAUAGAGAUAUACCAUGUUAUAUAUUUAUGGUCAGUCCUAUAGAGGAUUACCAUGUUCUAUAAUGAACUGAAAUAUAAAAUGCAACAUGCAACAAUUUCAAAGAUUUUACUGUGUUACAGUUCAUAUGAGAAAAUCUGUCAAUUGUAAUGAAUUCAUUAGGCCCUAAUCUAUGGAUUUCACAUGACUGAGAAUACAGAUAUGCAUGUGUUGGUCACAAGAUACCUUAGAAUAAAAGGUAGGGGCGUGGAUCAGAAAACCAGCCAGUAUCUGGUGUGACACAUCUCCUUCACAUGGAGGUGAUCAGGCUGUUGAUUGUGGCCUGUGAAAUGUUGUCCCACUCCACUUCAAUGGCUGUGUGAAGUUGCUGGAUUUUGGCGGGAACUGGAACACGGUCGUACACGUCAAUCCAGAGCAUCCCAAACAUGCUCAGUGGUUGACAGGUCUAGUGAAUAUACAGGCCAGUGAAGAACAGACAUUUUCUGCUUCCAGGAAUUGUGUACAGAUCUUUGCGACAUGUGGUUGUGCAUCAUCAUGCUGAAACAUGAGGUGAUGGUGGCAGAUGAAUGGCACAAUAAUGGGUCUCAGGAUCUGGUCACGGUAUCUCUGGGCAUUCAAAUUAGCAUAGAUAAAAGGCAAUUGUGUUCCUUGUCUGUAGCUUAUGACGGUUCAUACCAUAACCUCACCGCCACCAUGGGGCGCUCUGUUCACAGCGUUGACAUCAGCAAACCGCUUGCCCACAUGACGCCGUACACAUGGUCUACGGUUGUCCUGGGUUGUCGUGGUUACACGUGGUCUACGGUUGUCCUGGGUUGUCGUGGUUACACGUGGUCUACGGUUAUCCUGGGUUGUCGUGGUUACACGUGGUCUACAGUUGUGAGGCUGGUUGGACGUACUGACAAAUUCUCUAAAACAACGGAGGUGGCUUAUGGUAGAGAAAUUAACAUAAAAUUCUAUGGUAACAGCGUUGG